GACGAACGCUGGCGGCGUGCUUAACACAUGCAAGUCGAACGGAAAGGCCCUGCUUUUGUGGGGUGCUCGAGUGGCGAACGGGUGAGUAGCACGUGAGUAACCUGCCCUUGACUUUGGGAUAACUUCAGGAAACUGGGGCUAAUACCGGAUAGGAGCUCCUGCUGCAUGGUGGGGGUUGGAAAGUUUCGGCGGUUGGGGAUGGACUCGCGGCUUAUCAGCUUGUUGGUGGGGUAGUGGCUUACCAAGGCUUUGACGGGUAGCCGGCCUGAGAGGGUGACCGGCCACAUUGGGACUGAGAUACGGCCCAGACUCCUACGGGAGGCAGCAGUGGGGAAUAUUGCACAAUGGGCGGAAGCCUGAUGCAGCAACGCCGCGUGCGGGAUGACGGCCUUCGGGUUGUAAACCGCUUUCGCCUAUGACGAAGCGUGAGUGACGGUAAUGGGUAAAGAAGCACCGGCUAACUACGUG
This 468-nucleotide ribosomal RNA is filed under the name uncultured bacterium. RNAcentral's name for it is "partial 16S ribosomal RNA". It matches the Rfam family "Bacterial small subunit ribosomal RNA", at positions 28 to 507 of the family's 1533-position model. The record is from RNAcentral.